UUACCGGCAGAAAAAGCACCGGGUUACUUUUGUCCCGGCGCGCGCGAAAAUACGGAGGGUGAAAGCUUCAAUCGGGAUUUUUUGGGCGUAAAGGGGGGCCAGGGGUUUCUUCCAAUUUCGAAUGAAAAACCGGGGCCCCACCCUGGGAACCGCUUUUAAAAUUGGCAGCCUAGAUCUUGUAGGGGGGGGUGAAUUUCCGGGUUUGGGGGAAAAAUGCGUAGGAUUGGGGAGGAAUCCCGGUGGGGAAGGGGGUCCCCUUGGCCAAAAACUGCCGUUCAGGUGGGAAAGCGUGGGGGGCAAACAGGUUUAGAUCCCCUUGUAGUCCACGCCGUAACCGAUGUCGACUUGGAGGUUAGGGCCCUUGAGGCUUUACUUCCGGAACUAACGCGUUAAGUCGACCGCCUGGGGAGUACGGCCGCAAGGUUAAAACUCAAAUGAAUUGACGGGGGGCCGCACAAGCGGUGGAGCAUGUGGUUUAAUUCGAUGCAACGCGAAGAACCUUACCUACUCUUGACAUCCAGAGAACUUGGCAGAGAUGGUUUGGUCCCUUCGGGAACUCUGAGACAGGUGCUGCAUGGCUAAAGUCAGCUCGUGUUGUGAAAUGUUGGGUUAAGUCCCGCAACGAGCGCAACCCUUAUCCUUUGUUGCCAGCGGUUCGGCCGGGCACUCUAAGGAGACUGCCGGUGAUAACCUGGAGGAAGGUGGGGAUGACGUCAAGUCAUCAUGGCCCUUACGAGUAGGGCUACACACGUGCUACAAUGGUGGAUACAGAGGGUCGCGACCUCGCGAGAUCAAGCGGACCUCAUAAAGUGGGUCGUAGUCCGGAUUGGAGUCUGCAACUCGACUCCAUGAA
This 853-nucleotide ribosomal RNA is filed under the name Enterobacter sp. RNAcentral's name for it is "partial 16S ribosomal RNA". It matches the Rfam family "Bacterial small subunit ribosomal RNA", at positions 475 to 1324 of the family's 1533-position model. Lineage: Bacteria; Pseudomonadati; Pseudomonadota; Gammaproteobacteria; Enterobacterales; Enterobacteriaceae. The record is from RNAcentral.